This 492-nucleotide ribosomal RNA is filed under the name uncultured bacterium. Its description in RNAcentral is "partial 16S ribosomal RNA". It matches the Rfam family "Bacterial small subunit ribosomal RNA", at positions 29 to 507 of the family's 1533-position model. The record is from RNAcentral.
AGUGAACGCUGGCGGUAGGCCUAACACAUGCAAGUCGAACGGCAGCACAGUAAGAGCUUGCUCUUACGGGUGGCGAGUGGCGGACGGGUGAGGAAUACAUCGGAAUCUACUUUUUCGUGGGGGAUAACGUAGUGAAACUUACGCUAAUACCGCAUACGACCUACGGGUGAAAGCAGGGGAUCUUCGGACCUUGCGCGAUUGAAUGAGCCGAUGUCGGAUUAGCUAGUUGGCGGGGUAAAGGCCCACCAAGGCGACGAUCCGUAGCUGGUCUGAGAGGAUGAUCAGCCACACUGGAACUGGGACACGGUCCAGACUCCUACGGGAGGCAGCAGUGGGGAAUAUUGGACAAUGGGCGCAAGCCUGAUCCAGCCAUACCGCGUGGGUGAAGAAGGCCUUCGGGUUGUAAAGCCCUUUUGUUGGGAAAGAAAAGCAGCAGGUUAAUACCCCGCUGUUCUGACGGUACCCAAAGAAUAAGCACCGGCUAACUUCGUG